ACGUCGAAGGCCUGUGUCUCUGGCACUUUCUGCUGUGCUUGGCAUUGAAAGCGCGACAGGCGAGCAGCGAACAACGUACCAUUCCCAACAGUCCAAACCAGAAAUCAGUGCACACUGGCGACAGGAGUUGAAUAUAAUAAUCAAAAACAAAUAAAAAAAAAUAAAUAAGCUGAAUUUUAAUAUAUAGUAAUUAUAAUUAGACACGCAAAUGAAAUCAACGAUCACAUUAAAUUCAAUUUGACAAACCCAAAAAGUCACAAUAAGAGUUAAAACAAAAAAACACAACAAUAACAAAUUAAUUGUGCAAACACAAAAAAAAAAAAAAACACCUAAAAUUCAUUUGAGAAGUGCGCAAAACUGGUGACUGCUCGAAAAUAACAACAAUAUAUUCCAAUUGUACUCGAACUAUGUAUGUACAUAUAUUUCGUAUAUUUCCUAUUGUCAGUAAGUGCAAUUUCACAUUUUUACGGAAAAGCAGAGCAAAAUUAAUGAAAGUAAACAAAAUCUGAAAGCAAAACAAGAAUAUGGUGAAAGAAAAUUUGUAUAUAUGCAUAUGUAUAUAUAAGUAUUUAUCCAUCUAUAUCUCACCUGCGGGUAUUACGUGUCAAACAUGUGAUUCCGUUCUGCUUUUGUAUGCAAAAAUUUUAAAUGAUGCAUGCGAAAAAAUGUCAGUGAAAAUGAAACGAAAGAAAGUACAAAAAAAAACAUUGCAUCAUCCAAAUACAGGUGAAAACUCGUGUGAAAAAUACUGCAAAAGGAGGAAAAAUCGCUUUGCGCCUUAUGGCUGUCGUAUUAAAACAGUGGAACAGCGUCAGCUUUGAAAUUUAAUUAGCGACAGGCGAUUGAGCCAGCCACAACAACAACAACAACAACAACAACAGCAAUGACAGCACAAACACACGCCUACACACAAUAGAGCAGAACAAGGGCCUGCGAAAUAAAAGUAAACACAAAGACAAAAGAAAAAGGAAAUAAACCAAAAUAAAUCAUGCGAGCAAACGAAGAGGAAGAGCCACAAAAUGUGUUCAGCUUUCGCAUGACGACAGCAAAAAGCAGCAGCGACAGCGGCAGCAACAAGAACAAUGAAAGUGCACCAGAGACGUUAUCAGACCCCCUUCAUCAACCCUACUGCCACUGCUGCAACUGGCAUGUGAGUGUGUGUACGUGUGUGUGUGUGUGUGUGUGUGCCUGUGAGAGCGAGCGAGCAAACAAAAAUGGCGCUUGACAUGCGCACCAUGCGCACUGAGCGAGCGGCCAACUUGAACUUGAAAAUGUUUUUAUUGUUGCGCUUGUCCGAAGGCUGUGUUCCAUUUACUUGACGCGACAGCGACGCCAGCAGCAAAGCGAUGCCGGCAACCAAAGUGUGGAGCGCAGAGCGUAUACGCGAAUUCAACAGAGAGGGAGAGAGCGAGAGAGAGCAGCGAGGGCGUAAGCAGCAAGAGCGAGCUGCUAGGCUAAGCUUUGGGACUGCUUGCUAGCAGCAGGUAUGUAUGUUUGUAUGUAUGUAUGUAUAUUUGUGUUGUGCAUGUGUUGGUGAGAGUUGCAAAUCAGCCAAUAUGAAAAGAAAAAUAAAAACAAACAAGCAUGCGAGAGCAGGCGAAAGCUUUUUGCAUAGCUUUUGCGUGGGUGACUUAAGGCAGCGCAGUUGCGUCGCUGCCGACGUCUGCCAACUGUUUGCUUUUGUUGUAUGCCCAAAGCCAGCUGCCCGACACUUUCUCUUUCGCUGCGUACACCAAUGUGCCUGUGUGUGUGUGUAUGUGUGUGUAAAUAAUGCUGUUGCAUAUUUACUGGGAUACGAUGACGCGCACCUGUGCGAACACAGCUGCAGCCGACAGGAUGCUGCUGCUUCUUCUUCUACACGCUAGCCUCCUAGCUGCCAGCCAGGCGCAAAGUUUUUCAGUGUAGAGCGCACUCCCGGUGAUGUCAGGCAGCUCCUAACAGAGCAGCGUUGCCAUACUUGUAAUAGAAAAAAAAAAAACACAUUACAUAUAUGUGUAUGUAUGUGUAAAGUUGACAUAAAAGUGCGCGUUGCUCGAAAAAAGGAAACAAUAACAAAACAUAUUCAGGUGUGGAAAAUUGAUUAAUUGCUAAAAAUACAAGUGUGUGUGUGUGUGAGUGUAAAAGUUUCUGUACUGUGUCAUGUGAUGCAAAUUGUUAUUUUCAUUCUCGACCAGCAUAUGGACAUUACAUUUUAAGAAAUAUAUGUAGUGCACACAAACCACACACGCAUACACACACACACACACACAGAUACAGAUAGACAAUUAUUUCAUUGCGCCUUGGCAUAUGCAACAUAUUUGUUGGUUUGUGUUUACUACGCUUUCGACCUUUUCACACACACACACACACACGCGCACACGUGUUCACAGAGCAAGAUGCGUAAGCAGCGUUGAAUUAUUUACACAUAUAAAUAUACAUAUAUGUUUACAGUUAGAUAGAUGCAUGUGUAUGCCAUAUAUAGACAUUAAUCGAUGCGACUUUGUCUAAGGGCAGCUGGCAAAAUGUGGAGCAUUAAAAAUAGAUAUGGAAAAUAACUUUCGGCCAUAGCAAACUCAAUAAAUGAUUUGGAAAUAUUUUGACGAUUCAAGCAAA
Molecule: long non-coding RNA, 2592 nt
Organism: Drosophila virilis
Lineage: Eukaryota; Metazoa; Arthropoda; Insecta; Diptera; Drosophilidae
Source: RefSeq, a predicted model, not a curated record